Molecule: non-coding RNA, 2914 nt
Organism: Callithrix jacchus (white-tufted-ear marmoset)
Lineage: Eukaryota; Metazoa; Chordata; Mammalia; Primates; Cebidae
Source: RefSeq, a predicted model, not a curated record
AGGGCCUGGGCGCAGACAACCGGCAGGCGGUGCAGCUGCCAUGGGCAUGCAAUGAGUGGCCUCUCAAAACAACUUUCAAGGCAGCGGCGUGGCACUCCUGUGGAGCUCUCUGGCUGGCGGUGCGUCCCCUCUGUCACCAUGAAAGGUGACUUCGCAGAGGAGGAGGAGGUGCAGUCCUUCGGUUACAAGUGGUUUGGUAUUCAGGAAGGAACACAAUGUACCAAACGUAAAAAUAACUGGCACUGAAGUUUUCUAUCAUAUUAUUACACAUUUUGUGUGCCUUGCUAACAAUCACAGUAGCCAUUUUGGGAUAUAAAGUUGUAGAGAAAAUGGAUAAUGUCACAGGUGGCAUGGAGACAUCUCGCCAAACCUAUGAUGACAAGCUCAUAGCAGUGGAAAGUGACCUGAAAAAAUUAGGUGACUAAACUGGGAAGAAAGCUAUUAGCGCCAACUCAGAACUCUCUACCUUCAGAUCAGACAUUCUAGAUAUCCGUCAGCAACUUCGUGAGAUUACAGAAAAAAAACCAGCAAGAACAAGGAUAUGCUGGAGAAGUUACAGGCUAGCAGGGAUGCACUGGUGGACAGGGAGUCAACCAAAAGAAACUUUGGAGAAUAACUUCCCUCAUCACCACUGUAAACAAAACCCUCCAGGCGUACAAUGGCUGUGUCAUGAAUCUGCAGCAAGAUACCAGUGUGCUCCAGGGUAAUCUGCAGAACCAAAUGUAUUCUCAUAACGUGGUCAUCAUGAACCUCAACAACCUGAACCUGACCCAGGUACAGCAGAGGAACCUCAUCACGAAUCUGCAGCGGUCUGUGGAUGACACAAGCCAGGCUAUCCAGCAAAUCAAGAAUGACUUUCAAAAUCUGCAGCAGGUUUUUCUUCAAGCCAAGAAGGACACAGAUUGACUGAAGGAGGAAGUGCAAAGCUUGCAGAUGCUGGCUACCAAUAAUUCUGCUUUGGCCAAAGCCAACAACAACACCCUUGAGGAUAUGAACAGCCAGCUCAACUCAUUUACAGGUCUGAUGGAGAACAUCACUAUCUCUCAGGCCAACGAGCAGAACCUGAAAGACCUGCAGAACUUACACAAGGAUGCAGAGAAUAGAACGGCCAUCAGGUUCAACCAACUGGAGGAACACUUCCAGCUCUUUGAGAUGGAUAUUGUAAAUAUCAUUAGCAAUAUCAGUUACACAGCCCACCACCUGCAGAUGCUGACUAGCAAUCUGAAUGAAGUCAGGACCACUUGCAUGGAUACCCUAACCAAACACAAGGAUGAUCUGACUUCCUUGAAUAAUACCCUGGCCAACAUCUGUUUGGAUUCUGUUUCUCUCAGGAUGCAACAAGAUUUGAUGAGAGUGAGAUUAGACACUGAAGUAAGCAACUUAUCAGUGAUUAUGGAAGAAAUGAAGCUAGUAGACUCCAAGCAUGGUCAGCUCAUCAAGAAUUUUACAAUACUGCAAGGUCCACCCAGCCCCAGUGUCCAAAAGGUGACAGAGGAUCCCAGGGACACCCUGGUCCAACUGGCAACAAGGGACAGAAAGGAGAGAAGGGGGAACCUGGACCACCCGGCCCUGUGGGUGAGAGAGGCCCAAUGGGACCAGUCGGUCCCCCUGGAGAGUGUGGCGGCAAAGGCUCUAAAGGCUCCCAGGGACCCAAAGACUCCCGUGUUUUCCCCGGGAAGCCCAGCCCCAGGGCCCCAGUGGGGAACCAGGCCCCCCAGGCCCACCGUGCAAAGAAGGACUCCCUGGCCCCCAUGGCCCUCCUGGCUUCCAGGGACUACGGGGCACCAUGGGGGAGCCUGGGGUGCCUGGACCUAGGGGACUGCCAGAUUUGCCUGGGGUACCAGGCAUGCCAGGGCCCAAGGGUCUCCCUGACCCCCCAGCCCAUCAGAAGCAGUGGUGCCCCUGGCCCUGCAGAAUGAGCCCACCCCUGCACCGGAGGAUAAUGGCUGCCUGCCUCACUGGAAGAACUUCACAGACAAAUGCUACUAUUUUUCCGUUGAGAAGGAAAUUUUUGAGGAUGCAAAGCUUUUCUGUGAAGACAAGUGUUCACUUCUCGUUUUCAUAAACACUAGAGAAGAACAGCAAUGGAUUAAAAAACAGAUGGUAGGGAGAGAGAGCCACUGGAUCGGCCUCAGACUCAGAGAAUGAAAAUGAAUGGAAGUGGCUGGAUGGGGCAUCUCCAGACUACAAAAGUUGGAAAGCUGGACAGCCAGAUAACUGGGGUCAUGGCCAUGGGCCAGGAGAAGACUGUGCUAGGUUGAUUUAUGCUGGGCAGUGGAACGAUUUCCAGUGUGAAGACAUCAAUAACUUCAUUUGUGAAAAAGACAGGGAGACAGUGUUAUCAUCUGCAUUAUAACAGACUGUGAUGGAAUCACAUGAGCAAAUUUUCAGCCAGCUCUCAAAGGACAGUCCUUUCUAAUUGCAUCACCUUCUCAUCAGAUUGAAAAAAAAGCACUGAAAACCAAUUACUGAAAAAAAUUGACAGCUAGUGUUUUUUACCAUCUGUCAUUACCCAAAGACUUGGGAACUACAAUGUUCCCCCAGUGUGUUAUGCUGAUUUUCAGUGUGCACAUGGACUGAAUCGCAUAGAUUUUCCUCCAUCAGUAACUAUGCAAUUAUGCAAAUUACAUCUUCCAAAGUAUGGAGCACUCCAAUCAGAAAAAGGCUAUCAUUGGUGUUGAGCUAUAGGAAAAACUUAAGCAUAUACUGUGUAAAUAGUACCAUACAUUUCUUAAAUCCCAAGUGUAGGAAAAAUACGCAAACAUACAGAUAUAUAGGCCAACUCCUAGUGAUAAUAUGAAAUAUACUUAAAGAGCUUUUAAAACUUUGUAUUUUUGUACAAAAUAUUUGCCUUUUACAAUUUUUUCCUUUUUUUUUUUUUGUCAUUUUACUAACGUAAUACAUGGAGCCAAAG